RNAcentral lists this ribosomal RNA (293 nucleotides) under uncultured bacterium. RNAcentral's name for it is "partial 16S ribosomal RNA". The record is from RNAcentral.
GGACUACUGGGGUAUCUAAUCCUGUUCGCUCCCCACGCUUUCGCUCCUCAGUGUCAGUGCCAGCCCAGAGCGCCGCCUUCGCCGCUGGUGUUCCUCCUGAUAUCUGCGCAUUUCACCGCUACACCAGGAAUUCCACGCUCCCCUACUGGACUCUAGUCACGACAGUAUCGGGUGGCGUCUCCAGGUUGAGCCUGGAGGUUUCACACCCGACUUAUCGAACCACCUACGAGCUCUUUACGCCCAAUAAAUCCGGACAACGCUCGCCCCCUACGUGUUACCGCGGCUGCUGGCAC